Molecule: transfer RNA, 72 nt
Filed under: Loxodonta africana (African savanna elephant)
Lineage: Eukaryota; Metazoa; Chordata; Mammalia; Proboscidea; Elephantidae
Rfam family: tRNA
About the family: Transfer RNA (tRNA) molecules are approximately 80 nucleotides in length. Their secondary structure includes four short double-helical elements and three loops (D, anti-codon, and T loops). Further hydrogen bonds mediate the characteristic L-shaped molecular structure. tRNAs have two regions of fundamental functional importance: the anti-codon, which is responsible for specific mRNA codon recognition, and the 3' end, to which the tRNAs corresponding amino acid is attached (by aminoacyl-tRNA synthetases). tRNAs cope with the degeneracy of the genetic code in two manners: having more than one tRNA (with a specific anti-codon) for a particular amino acid; and 'wobble' base-pairing, i.e. permitting non-standard base-pairing at the 3rd anti-codon position.
Source: Rfam by way of RNAcentral
GCCCUGGUGGCACAAUGGUUAAGUGCUUGGCUGCUAACCAAAAGGUUGGCGGUUUGAACCCACUCAGUGGCU